Molecule: non-coding RNA, 30 nt
Filed under: Mus musculus (house mouse)
Lineage: Eukaryota; Metazoa; Chordata; Mammalia; Rodentia; Muridae
Source: RNAcentral
UACUGGCGCCAUGUGUCUACCAGGCAAAGC